AUUGAACGCUGGCGGCAUGCCUUACACAUGCAAGUCGAACGGCAGCGGGGGAGAAGCUUGCUUUUCCUGCCGGCGAGUGGCGAACGGGUGAGUAAUACAUCGGAACGUGCCCUGUAGUGGGGGAUAACUAGUCGAAAGAUUAGUUAAUACCGCAUACGACUUGAGGGUGAAAGUGGGGGACCGCAAGGCCUCAUGCUAUAGGAGCGGCCGAUGUCUGAUUAGCUAGUUGGGGGGGUAAAGGCCUACCAAGGCGACGAUCAGUAGCUGGUCUGGGAGGACGAUCAGCCACACUGGGACUGAGACGCGGCCCAGACUCCUACGGGAGGCAGCAGUGGGGAAUUUUGGACAAUGGGCGAAAGCCUGAUCCAGCAAUGCCGCGUGUGUGAAGAAGGCCUUCGGGUUGUAAAGCACUUUUGUCCGGAAAGAAAUGGCUCUGGUUAAUACCUGGGGUCGAUGACGGUACCGGAAGAAUAAGGACCGGCUAACUACGUGCCAGCCGCCGCGGUAA
Molecule: ribosomal RNA, 508 nt
Filed under: uncultured bacterium
Lineage: Bacteria
Description: partial 16S ribosomal RNA
Rfam family: Bacterial small subunit ribosomal RNA
Source: RNAcentral